This 1923-nucleotide ribosomal RNA is filed under the name Zschokkella sp. DDI-2008. Its description in RNAcentral is "partial 18S ribosomal RNA". It matches the Rfam family "Eukaryotic small subunit ribosomal RNA". Lineage: Eukaryota; Metazoa; Cnidaria; Myxozoa; Bivalvulida; Myxidiidae. The record is from RNAcentral.
GCCAUGCAUGUCUAUGUUCAUACCUAGUUAUAGUGAGACUGCRAAAGGCUCAGUAUAUCAGUUAUAGUUUAUUCGAUUGKGAAAUCCACAUGGAUAACCGUGGAAAAUCUAGAGCUAAUACAUSCGAAAAAUGACCARGUUCCUUUKGGGAUUUGGUUGUGCAUUUAUUAGAUUAGAACCAAUUGRUAUURUAGUUUHGGCURURRYAYUAUKAUGGUGAGUCUGGAUAACUGUGCCGAUCGUAUGGCCUUGAGCCGGCGACGUUUCGAUUAAAUUUCUGCCCUAUCAACUUGUUGGUAAGGUAGUGGCUUACCAAGGUGAUAACGGGUAACGGGGAAUCAGGGUUCGAUUCCGGAGAGGGAGCCUGAGAAACGGCUACCACAUCCAAGGACGGCAGCAGGCGCGCAAAUUACCCAAUCCAGACACUGGGAGGUGGUGACGAGAAAUACCAGGUCGUUCCCAAAAGGAUUCGACACUGGAAUGAGUACAGAAUAAAUACUUGUUCGAGUAACAACUGGAGGGCAAGUCUGGUGCCAGCAGCCGCGGUAAUUCCAGCUCCAGCAGUGUAUUCUAACGUUGCUGCGGUUAAAACGCUCGUAGUUGGACAAGAGAGUGAUUUGGUGCGGGYGGGGAGUGUAAUUACACYGYGUUUGCUCUUGRUURAGURRYKUUCUGCUUCGGYAGUUSRUUGKUURAUUWDGUWGUGGCKYGRWUGUAGCACUCGUCUUCCAUGCUGCCAGAUYACUCAUAUUAUUUCGUGAGAAUGGCGUAUGGCCUUWAUUGUGCUGKWUGUUGUGUCUUACGUAGUGUGCCUUGAAUAAAUCAGAGUGCUCAAAGCAAGCURUCGCUUGAAUGUUAAUANCAUGGAACGAAUGUUUUGNGGAUGUAUGUAUGUUGUGUGCUUCGGUGCNUGAUGGGCAUAUAACGGCAACCACGGANCGGAACAUUGAAUUGCCNACUUNGGUGANGAUUAAAAGGGGCAUUUGGGGGCNUUNGUANUUGGCCGNGAGAGGUGAAAUUCUUGGACCGGUCAAGGACUAACAANUGCGAAAGCNUUUGCANGUAUNUUCCCUUUAAUCAGNAACGAAAGUGAAAGGGUAAAAGACAAUCAGAUGCCGUCCUAGUCUCNCNGUAAACGAUGCCACCCCGGGAUCAGNUCCGANGUAUUUAUAUUGGAUCCAGGUUGNUCCCCCUGGGAAACCUUGAGUUUUUUGGUUCCGGGGGGAGUAUGGUUGCAAGGNUGAAACUUAAAGGAAUUGACGGAAGGGCACCACCCNGAGUGGAGCCUGNGGAAAAAUUUGACUCAACACGGGAAAACUCACUGGUCCGGACAUCGAUAGGAUUNACAGACUAAUAGAUCUUUCANGAUACGGUGGGUGGUGGUGCAUGGCCGUUCUUAGUUCGCGGAGNNNUNUGUCAGGUUAAUUCCGGUAACGAACGAGAUCNCGUUUUUCAUUUGGGGAGCUGUAUUUNUUUGGUUGCAUUACAGUUUCGGCUGUGAUGUUCCAAACAUGAAUAUNGUAAAUGUGCAGCAAUGNGUGCCCCUAUGGAGAGACAGCCGGAUUAUAAGCCGGAGGAAGNGNGGCAAUAACAGGUAGCUGAUGCCCUUCGAUGUUCAGGGCCGCACGCGCGNUACAANGAUAACGACAGCGAGAGUNNGGANNGAAAANUUNUGGGAAAUNGUGUUAAUCGUUAUCGUGAUGGGGAUUGAGCAUUGUAAAAGUUGNUCAAAAAAUAGGAAUUCUUNGUAUUUGGGACUCANUCAGGUCNNGAAGAAAGCGUCUAUGCCCAAAGUACACACCGCCUGUNGNUAUGCUCAAGAGNGAAUGGUGUCAAGAUANUUACCGUGGGAAAACUAGAGCUNANACUCGAAUAAACUACGCAAGAGUCGCAACAAGGUUUCCGUAGGUGAACCAGCGGAAG